This 669-nucleotide long non-coding RNA is filed under the name Stegodyphus dumicola. RNAcentral describes it as "uncharacterized LOC118181048, transcript variant X1". Lineage: Eukaryota; Metazoa; Arthropoda; Arachnida; Araneae; Eresidae. The record is from RNAcentral.
UGCAUACUGCAGUAACAUUGUCUCUUCCAAAUUAUAGCUAUCUUUCACACACAGCUCAUUUUAAACGUUGGUUCUUCAAAUUUAAAACGCUAAUUUCUAUGUUGUCAAUUGCAUCUCCGCGCUCGGUGGCAUCAUUGCUACGUCACCACUCCUCACUGCAUGUUUCAGGGGGAAACGCUCUAUGAGCUAGCCCUUCACUGACAAUACUAGUUUUAAACUAGUCCUGACAAUACUAGUUUUAAACAGGCGAAGUCAGAGCAGGUGCAACAUAGUGACGUCAGACUACUUCCUGUUAACCCCCUAUGAGGAUUGCGCCGGCGAGGAUAUAAAUAUUAUUAUUAUACAAAGAUUUCAAUACCAGAUGGCAGCACAAGUAACAGCAGGAAGUGGCAACAUUGUUGGUCGCCAGUCGAGUGUGACGCCACAACCGAAGAGAUGCCGCAACGAUAACCUUGAGGUUGAAAGAGAUAAGACCAGCAGGGGUUAAAUUUUUGCAUUGUAUUAGCUUGCUAGCCGUCUCAAUGAAUUAUUUAUUCCAUGCGAGGAAUGAUAUUUUUCCUUCGUUUUACAGUACUAGUUUUAUUUAUGUAUUUAUUUUUUAGACUUCUAGUAUUUUUCUUUAAGAAUUGUGAUUGGAAAGCGAGUUGGAUACAAUACACUUACGCUAUG